Molecule: ribosomal RNA, 491 nt
Filed under: uncultured bacterium
Lineage: Bacteria
Description: partial 16S ribosomal RNA
Rfam family: Bacterial small subunit ribosomal RNA
Source: RNAcentral
AGUGAACGCUGGCGGUAGGCCUAACACAUGCAAGUCGAACGGCAGCACAGUAAGAGCUUGCUCUUACGGGUGGCGAGUGGCGGACGGGUGAGGAAUACAUCGGAAUCUACUUUUUCGUGGGGGAUAACGUAGGGAAACUUACGCUAAUACCGCAUACGACCUACGGGUGAAAGCAGGGGAUCUUCGGACCUUGCGCGAUUGAAUGAGCCGAUGUCGGAUUAGCUAGUUGGCGGGGUAAAGGCCCACCAAGGCGACGAUCCGUAGCUGGUCUGAGAGGAUGAUCAGCCACACUGGAACUGAGACACGGUCCAGACUCCUACGGGAGGCAGCAGUGGGGAAUAUUGGACAAUGGGCGCAAGCCUGAUCCAGCCAUACCGCGUGGGUGAAGAAGGCCUUCGGGUUUUAAAGCCCUUUUGUUGGGAAAGAAAAGCAGCAGGUUAAUACCCCGCUGUUCUGACGGUACCCAAAGAAUAAGCACCGGCUAACUUCGU